This 468-nucleotide ribosomal RNA is filed under the name uncultured bacterium. Its description in RNAcentral is "partial 16S ribosomal RNA". It matches the Rfam family "Bacterial small subunit ribosomal RNA", at positions 28 to 507 of the family's 1533-position model. The record is from RNAcentral.
GACGAACGCUGGCGGCGUGCUUAACACAUGCAAGUCGAACGGAAAGGCCCUGCUUUUGUGGGGUGCUCGAGUUGCGAACGGGUGAGUAACACGUGAGUAACCUGCCCUUGACUUUGGGAUAACUUCAGGAAACUGGGGCUAAUACCGGAUAGGAGCUCCUGCUGCAUGGUGGGGGUUGGAAAGUUUCGGCGGUUGGGGAUGGACUCGCGGCUUAUCAGCUUGUUGGUUGGGUAGUGGCUUACCAAGGCUUUGACGGGUAGCCGGCCUGAGAGGGUGACCGGCCAAAUUGGGACUGAGAUACGGCCCAGACUCCUACGGGAGGCAGCAGUGGGGAAUAUUGCACAAUGGGCGGAAGCCUGAUGCAGCAACGCCGCGUGCGGGAUGACGGCCUUCGGGUUGUAAACCGCUUUCGCCUGUGACGAAGCGUGAGUGACGGUAAUGGGUAAAGAAGCACCGGCUAACUACGUG